RNAcentral lists this ribosomal RNA (234 nucleotides) under uncultured Glomus. Its description in RNAcentral is "partial 18S ribosomal RNA". It matches the Rfam family "Eukaryotic small subunit ribosomal RNA", at positions 548 to 785 of the family's 1831-position model. The record is from RNAcentral. Lineage: Eukaryota; Fungi; Glomeromycota; Glomeromycetes; Glomerales; Glomeraceae.
UUGGAGGGCAAGUCUGGUGCCAGCAGCCGCGGUAAUUCCAGCUCCAAUGGCGUAUAUUAAAGUUGUUGCAGUUAAGGAGCUCGUAGUUGAAUUUCGAGACCGGCUUACUGGUCGUGCUUUUGUGCGUACUGGUAUAAUCGGUUUCUCCUUUCUGACGAACUUUAAUGCCAUUAAUUUGGUGUUAUAGGGAAUCAGGACUGUUACUUUGAAAAAAUUAGAGUGUUUAAAGCAGGC